RNAcentral lists this ribosomal RNA (494 nucleotides) under uncultured bacterium. Its description in RNAcentral is "partial 16S ribosomal RNA". It matches the Rfam family "Bacterial small subunit ribosomal RNA", at positions 28 to 507 of the family's 1533-position model. The record is from RNAcentral.
GACGAACGCUGGCGGCGUGCUUAACACAUGCAAGUCGAACGGUGAAGCGCCUUCCUUUUUGGUGGGUGUGGAUGAGUGGCGAACGGGUGAGUAACACGUGAGUAACCUGCCCCCUUCUUCUGGAUAACCGCAUGAAAGUGUGGCUAAUACGGGAUAUUCUGGGUCUGUCGCAUGAUGGGUCUGGGAAAGAUAUUGUUUCGGUGGGGGAUGGGCUCGCGGCCUAUCAGCUUGUUGGUGGGGUGAUGGCCUACCAAGGCGGUGACGGGUAGCCGGCCUGAGAGGGUGGACGGUCACACUGGGACUGAGACACGGCCCAGACUCCUACGGGAGGCAGCAGUGGGGAAUAUUGCACAAUGGGCGCAAGCCUGAUGCAGCGACGCCGCGUGAGGGAUGGAGGCCUUCGGGUUGUGAACCUCUUUCGCCAGUGAAGCAGGCCUGCCUCGUUUGUGGGUGGGUUGACGGUAGCUGGAUAAGAAGCGCCGGCUAAAUACGUG